AUUGAACGCUGGCGGAAUGCUUUACACAUGCAAGUCGAACGGUAGAGGGGGGCAACCCCCUUGAGAGUGGCGAACGGGUGAGUAAUAUAUCGGAACGUGCCCAGUCGUGGGGAUAACGUAGCGAAAGUUACGCUAAUACCGCAUACGAUCUAAGGAUGAAAGCGGGGGAUCGCAAGACCUCGCGCGAUUGGAGCGGCCGAUAUCAGAUUAGGUAGUUGGUGAGGUAAAGGCUCACCAAGCCAACGAUCUGUAGCUGGUCUGAGAGGACGACCAGCCACACUGGAACUGAGACACGGUCCAGACUCCUACGGGAGGCAGCAGUGGGGAAUUUUGGACAAUGGACGCAAGUCUGAUCCAGCCAUUCCGCGUGCAGGAUGAAGGCCCUCGGGUUGUAAACUGCUUUUGUACGGAACGAAAAGGUUUGUCUUAAUACGAUGAGCUCAUGACGGUACCGUAAGAAUAAGCACCGGCUAACUACGUGCCAGCAGCCGCGGUAAA
Molecule: ribosomal RNA, 498 nt
Filed under: uncultured bacterium
Lineage: Bacteria
Description: bacterial SSU rRNA
Rfam family: Bacterial small subunit ribosomal RNA
Source: RNAcentral